Long non-coding RNA from Triticum dicoccoides, 1682 nucleotides. RefSeq lists it as uncharacterized. NCBI's taxonomy places the organism in Eukaryota, Viridiplantae, Streptophyta, Magnoliopsida, Poales, Poaceae. The record is from RefSeq and is a predicted model, not a curated record. The transcript has 5 exons.
GCACGAGCGCCGUGAGAUCAAAGUGCAGCAGCGGCCAAUACGGCGAGGCGCAGCGACUGCACGGGCUCCGCGAGGUCCAGGGGCGGAAGCAGCCAAUACGGCGAGCGGUGCCUGUCCGGCGACCAUACGGCCUCCGCGGCGUGCUCGACCUUGCUCCUACGCCUCCUACCCGGGCUGGACCUCCCCCCGUGCGUCGUCCCCACCCGCAUCACCAAGCUCCCCAACGGCGUCCGCGACUCGGCGUCGCCUCCGAGGAUUUCCAGGGAGCAGCACAGGGAUGGCAAUUUUGGCAGCUCUGCUCUGAUGAUGCCGUCAGAGCACAGCUUGCUCGUUUUCAGCAUGAGGAAGAAGAUGAUUUGACAGGGAGCAGCACAGCUUGCUUGUUUUGUUUCUCUGUAGCAAGUUAUUCUAUAAAUACUGAACACUAUGCAAGGAAAUCAGCAGCUGCCAUUGUUCAAGAAUGUACUAAUUCUCUGAACAUUGUUUUGUUUUUCUGUAGCAAAUUAUUUCUAUGAAUUCUGAACAUUUGCAAAGAAAUCAGUAGCUUUCAUUGUUAAGAGAAUGAGCUAAUUCUCUGAAUUUUUUUUUUGUUUUUAGCAUGAGGAAGAAGAUGAUUUGACAGGGAGCAGCACAGCUUGCUUGUUUUGUUUCUCUGUAGCAAGUUAUUCUAUAAAUACUGAACACUAUGCAAGGAAAUCAGCAGAUGCCAUUGUUAAAGAAUGUACUAAUUCUCUGAACAUUGUUUUGUUUUUCUGUAGCAAAUUAUUGUAUGAAUUCUGAACAUUUGCAAAGAAACUGUUGCUCCUUUGGAUCGAUGCCGGAGGCGGGACUGACUGACUCACCGCUGUUUCUUCAUCCGCAACACGUUCAGAUUAACACCGAGGCUCCCUGCCGUUCACAGCGUCUUCCCAAGUACAAUACUACAACCAGGCAAGUAGCUCUUCUUGUAUGUGGUGGUGAAGCAAUGCCGGCUCCUUUUUUGGCCAAAACCUUCUUGCAAAUGAUUUAAUAAAUUAUUUAAUCCCAUGGUUCAUUAUUCCGUUAAGUGUAAUAUGUCCAUUCAAGCAUUAUCUUGUUCAUGCUUUGUUUCAGCAGCGUUUUGUUUGUUUAAAAAAAGUCACACUAACAGUUUUUUCUUUUUCUAAUUGGAACAACUUCUGAGGAUCGAGGAGGAGCUGGGCGACGCUGCGGUGUACGCUGGCCUCAAGUUCGCCUGACUUCCGUCAAAGUGUAAUCAUGUUGUACACAGUACACUGUUCUCCAUCGGCGUCGACUCCCAAGCAGCAGCUGGCAUGACGAGCACUGCACAAGGUCCCUGCUGCCUGCUGACUGUCAAUGGCUCCCUUCCCUGCUGCAGGUCGUAGUUGAAAUAGACCCACAAGACAGAACUCAGCUCCGGAUUAGUCCUUCCGAAGCUGAGUUAUUUUACAUCAGUUUACCCCCUUUUAGCAGCUGCCAUUAUUUUCGGUACUCCUUUCGAGCAUUGUUCAAAGAAAUCAGCAGCUGCCAUUAUUUUACAUCAGUUUACCCCCUUUCAGCAGCUACCAUUAUUUUCUGGAGGAGAAAUUCAUUCUCAGAUCACAAGAACCACAGAACAGCAAGGGUGAUAUUCAGGUUGACAUAUUUUCAUAGACAAUCUAACCUGUACAGGGAUGAGUAAGAGAUGAAAAACUUCAAUUGAA